RNAcentral lists this long non-coding RNA (611 nucleotides) under Durio zibethinus. RNAcentral describes it as "long non-coding RNA (DZIB_LNC000262)". Lineage: Eukaryota; Viridiplantae; Streptophyta; Magnoliopsida; Malvales; Malvaceae. The record is from RNAcentral.
AAUCUAUUAAAUAUUUAUUAUUUUAUGAUUUUGAAAUGCAAUAUUUUAUUAAGUACUUUAAUUUUUUACACAUUAAUUAAUUUAAAAUUAUUAUCAUAAAUUACUUUUCAAUUAUUAUACAAGGGAUCAAACUUUUAAUUUUUAGUUAAGUACACAAAAAUUAUAAUAAUAAUAAUUAAUCUAAUACUAAAAAAAUUAAAAAUACAUAUCAAAACAAAAUAUCAUUAAUUUUUUCUCACCAUAAUGCCAUCUGAUCUUUCUCCUAGCUAUUUUUUCCUCUCCCUCCAGCUGGCCCCUGACCGGACCCACCGGCAUUCGAUCCCAGAUUCCUUCCAAUAGAGACUCCGUUUCCAGGGAAUCAGUCCUUUCCGAACCACCAACUCAAUCUCUUCCAAGCAGGGGCUGACCCGCGCUGCAUCUCCAGAGCCAAGACACCGAACGAGGGGGGAGUGGGGGCUCGCGCUCAUAAAAGAAGCCCGCACCACCAAGCUACAGCCGCUCCUGUUGACCAGAAGAGUCUACUUUUCAGUCGAGUCGCUUGAGCCCUCACUCAGCAGAAGAUGUAAGAUGGAGAGGCUAACUUCACCAAUCAGUUCAAUCCCAUUAAAAUU